RNAcentral lists this ribosomal RNA (253 nucleotides) under uncultured bacterium. RNAcentral's name for it is "partial 16S ribosomal RNA". It matches the Rfam family "Bacterial small subunit ribosomal RNA", at positions 524 to 776 of the family's 1533-position model. The record is from RNAcentral.
CACGUAGGGCGCAAGCGUUGUCCGGAAUUAUUGGGCGUAAAGAGCUCGUAGGCGGUCUGUUGCGUCCGCUGUGAAAACUCGGGGCUUAACCCCGAGCCUGCAGUGGAUACGGGCAGACUAGAGGUAGGUAGGGGAGAAUGGAAUUCCAGGUGUAGCGGUGAAAUGCGUAGAUAUCUGGAGGAACACCGGUGGCGAAGGCGGCAUCCUGGACCAACACUGACACUGAGGAGCGAAAGCCAGGGGAGCAAACGGG